This 72-nucleotide transfer RNA is filed under the name Actinomycetota bacterium. RNAcentral's name for it is "tRNA-Val". It matches the Rfam family "tRNA". Rfam says of the family: Transfer RNA (tRNA) molecules are approximately 80 nucleotides in length. Their secondary structure includes four short double-helical elements and three loops (D, anti-codon, and T loops). RNAcentral also lists the same sequence under 2 other names. The record is from RNAcentral. Lineage: Bacteria; Bacillati; Actinomycetota.
GGGCUCGUAGCUCAGUGGGAGAGCGCUCGCCUCACACGCGAGAGGUCACAGGUUCAAAACCUGUCGAGCCCA